This 352-nucleotide ribosomal RNA is filed under the name uncultured soil bacterium. RNAcentral describes it as "bacterial SSU rRNA". It matches the Rfam family "Bacterial small subunit ribosomal RNA", at positions 512 to 863 of the family's 1533-position model. The record is from RNAcentral.
CAGCCGCGGUAAUACGAACCGUGCAAACGUGGUUCGGAAUCACUGGGCUUAAAGGGCGCGUAGGCGGUCGACCAAGUCCGGGGUGAAAUCUUUCGGCUCAACCGGAAAAGUGCCUUGGAUACUGGUCGGCUGGAGGGAGGUAGGGGCAGGUGGAACUUCCAGUGGAGCGGUGAAAUGCGUUGAUAUUGGAACGAACGCCGGUGGCGAAAGCGACCUGCUGGACCUUUCCUGACGCUGAGGCGCGAAAGCUACGGGAGCAAACGGGAUUAGAUACCCCGGUAGUCCUAGCCCUAAACGAUGGGUACUAGGUUGUGGACUUAACAUGGAUUCACAGCCGAAGCAAAAGUGUUAA